CCGGUGCCGCCUACCGGCUUCGGGCUCUGGGCGCGUCACCUCGCGUAGGAACUCAGUGCCCUAGGCUGGGAGUGGACGCUGUCCUUCUGUGAAGGCUCCAAGGCCGCGCUGCAGGAAGGCGGGGCGGACGGAGCCGUCACCCACGGCGGAGUCCGAGAAAAGGCUAGCGGCAGAGGAUGGAAAGGUUUUGGUCAGUCGCUUGUAUGUAAACCUCGUGUAGUUACUGUCUUAUGGGGGACGUGACCAUGCUGCAACCCAGGCGGGUUCGGGGGUAGUGAGCUCGGGGAUCUGACCGGGGACAAUCGCGGCGCGCUCGGCGGGUCCUGUGCCCCGACUGCGCGCCCGGGUCUCCGGCUGCAAGCGGGCCCUUCUCGAUUUCAGCGCUGGAUGGCGCUAGCAUGCCACGGGAAGGUGCCGCCUUCUUUCAGCAUUUAGGAGGCGGCUUGGAGAGGCGGAGAACCCUGCCCAAAUAAAUCCAUUUCCCCAGGGCCCGUCAAGGUUGUGGUUCAGCCAACCUUGCCAGCACUACUUCAUGCUGUGUCCUUGAUUGCAGCCGGCAUCAGGGUGUCCAGUCAUUCUCACUAAGGGCUGUAUGGUCUGGCUCCCUGCUGUUACCCUCCCUCCCCUAACCCGAUUUCAGACUCCGGAAACUGCGCGCAUUUGUAAGUCUGUGUCUUUCUGCCCUUGUCAUAUUAUUCCUUCUUAUGAUACAUUUUCUUUCACCCCCGCGGGGGAGAACCAUUCUAUCAUUCUGGUUCCAUUUCCAGUAUGAGGUCCCAGGCCUCUCCCCAGAGAACACAUUCCUCUUUGUUUCCAAGGCACUUUCAACAGGCUGAUGAUAACCAUAAGUCCACUGUUUUGGGUUUAUUCAAAUUUCACACUGCAUUAAAGUGCAUAGAUAAGGCCAAGCAUUGUGGUGCACGCCUGUAAUCCCAGCACUUGGUGGAGGGGGUGGGGGAUGAGGCAGGAGGAUUGCCACAUAUUCAAGGACAGCCUGGGCAACAUAGUGAGUUCAAGGCCAGCCUGAACUACACAGCAAGACCAUGGGGGGGGGGGGGGUGUUAGGAACACAUCCAUUAAAAAAAAUAAUGUUUGUAUUAUUGAACUUGGGACAGCAGAGGAAUAUGCCAGAGAACCUUUGGGCUCCUCAAAGGGUAAGCAUCACUAAAGAGCCCUCAGGGGUGGGAGCUGGAGUUGUAUUCUUCACAGGGGAGGCAGGUGGAUGGGAGGCCAGUGGUCUUGUCUGGAACACAGGGGCCCAUGGGAGCUCCUGGAAGAUGAGCCCACAGCCGCCUCUAGGAGCACAGGGAACCGAUGAGGUGGUGUUGGGAUGGUCCCAACUUACAGCACAAGUGUUGCACAGCAUGGGUUAGAAUUUUCAUUUACACGUCAUGGUGAGAUGCAUUUUGUCUUAUCUUCAACACUCCAACCUCCCACCUCACCCUUCAGCCCCAUUGCCAACCAAAUCAAUUUCACUUUCUCUUCAUGCCAGCAGUGGCCAGGGUUAUGGGAACACUGAUUGGCCUGAUCAGAUUUCCUAAUGUCAGGGCUGUUAAGCAAAAGUUUGAGGAAGGGGAGGGAAUGUAUCCUUUCUACUAGGAAACAGCACCAUGCCCACAUAGGAGCUCCAAAGCCUGUCUCGUGAAGGAGUGGCUUGUGGGAAUGACUUCCAGGAACUAAAGCUCUUCAGAGGUCAGGCCUUCGUCUCCAGGUCACUGGGUUUGUGUCCUCAAAGGGGACAGCGAGAUUCCAACCCUUCCUCUUCCUCAUUGCCCUGUCAGGAAGUGAUGGUUUGCUCCAUUAAACAUACCCCACCAGGAAACACUGCCAUCAAAUCCUGAAGCCAACUGACCAUGAUGGAAAUAACUAUUCCCUGUAUAAAUUGAUUAUCUUGGGUAUUUGUUACAGUGACAAAAAGCUGGCUAACACCGUGCCAAUUACAGGUGUCUCAAGUCAUCACCAACAUCUAGGAACAGAGCAGCCCUUGCGGGAGGCCCUCUGGGCUGGUUCUCACCCUAAGACUAAAGAUGAGGCCCCAACCUACAUGACCAGUGCUGAUCUGACACCUAGGACUCUGCAUGUGGGAAAAGCAGCCCCUGAUGCUGGGCGCACAACCAAUGGAAGCCAGCGUCAGGAGCAAGGCCAUUUCUAGUCCAGGGCUAUGGCCCCAACAUGUGCUCUUUCAUGUUCUUGCACAGAUGUCCCCUGGAAACCUGCAGGCAGCUAGGGAGAGCUCAGGCAGGAGGCAGCAAGCAGUCUAGCUUGACAGCUUUUUGACUAACUUACAAUGAAACAGAAAUAAGGAUUGUGUGGCACAUGAAUGGAGGCCCAGCGCUGUCCCCAGGGCCCAGCCCAUUGAAACAGUCCAAAGUUUGGACCAGCCCAUGGCAUCCUGGGAUUCUCAGACAGGCAAGUGCUGUUCUGGAGACCAGGAGCCUGGAACAGCCCCUGGGAGCAUCACUGUGCCAUAGGUGACAGUGCUCCAUGGACCCAUCCCAGGUGAGGGAUCCCAAGUCUCAGCUUGCAAGUAGCAACUAGCACACACCUAGUACACAGCCAGCCAUGGGAAGGAAUCGAGUUCAUCUUUAUCAGUAUCUUCAUCACAGCUGGGUACAGCCAGGCCCUGUACCAUGUCCAAGAUUCUUUCCGCACCACUUUAUUUCAGAUGCUGUGGGAUUCUGGCAUCCUCAGGAGCUGUGUCUCCUUCUGAAUGUGAGGACAGAGCCUGGUCACUAUGUCCUGUUCCAUCCUGAGCCUGAUGUGGUGUCACCAUGUCUGCUGUGCUGGCCUGCUGACCACCCCAAUGUCUCUGAUGCCUUUGCUGCAGCUGCCUGCCCUUGUCCCUACAUCUCAGAGCCACCAGCUUGGUCCCUGUCAGGACAUUGGAACUAGAAUAAAAAAAUCAACAGCAACAAAGAGUCCUGAGGGACUCAGCCAUGUGGCUGUUCUGGGACAGUCCACCCUGUGACAGCUCUGUCCUGCUCCUCACUAAAGGUGUCUUGGCUUCUCAGGAGCUCUGUCAGUGUCACAUGGCCAGACCUGAGCCUGUCCCCAAAGCCAGGAACUGAGACAGUAAACAACCUGCCCUUGCAGUCUGGAUGGAGACACUGAUGAAGCAAGGGGAGGCCAGCAUCCACGGAAGCCAAGACCCUUGCCAGCAGAAGGCUGAGCAAGACAGCCACCUGGGGGGACCCCAGCCUGUGAGGUGUGUGGCCUGGCUGCUGCCAGUGAGCUGCCACCACCUGUUCCAUCUCUCACAUGAAUGCUGGGGAACCCACACCCCACCUCUAUGUUCAUCCAGUUCAUGGCCCAAGGGGUCAAGGGGAUGCCCCUGGGAACAGGCCUCCCGGCUCCUGCCCACCCAGCUGGGGCAGGACUCCUGGCUCCAGUUCAAUGGCCUUUUACUCUAGGGACCCACACGGGGACACCAGGCCGACCACUAUGGUGAUGAAUGUCCAUGCUGUGCUGUCCAGCUGGUGGCCAUGGCCACUGUGGCUACUGGACAUCAGCCAUGAGGCUACUGUGACUGAGGGCCUGAAUUCCUAUGCAGCAGAGCUUGUGGCCUGAGUGCUUGACAAGGUGUCAAGGAAGACAUAGUUGCCAGUGUGCAUGCUCAGUGAGAGUCUUUCAGCACUACCCUGAGGACAGACCUGCCAGCCUUCUGGUGCUGUGCUCUGGAUGAGCACAGUGGAAAGAAUGGCCAGGGAUGAAAGUGCAGCUUGGGGUGGGCACCUGCCCAGCACAGGCCAGGCCUAGGUUCAGUGCCCAGCACCAGAGGAGGAAACACCAGCAUCCAUCGAAGCACAAGCCUGGACGGAGCACGAACAAAGUAAAACUUUAUUUGAACCCAAGUCAUCUCACAACUGCGCCUCACCUCAUGUGGCUCAGCGUCACUAGUGGUAAUGAGCACUGCUUCUCAGGAAGGUGGCUGCUGUGGCCUCUGCCACUGUGGGGUCUUGGUACUCGCCUGAUCACUGGAGGCAGCAGCAGCCCUGGCCAGGGUCCAGCACCCAACCCCACCUCAAAAACACCUGCACAACCCCGGGUCUCCUCCUGUCCCCUACCUCACCCGUGCUCACCAGGCCUGGCUCCCGGUGAGCACUGGGCAACCUGACCCACAGCACAACAUAGCUGUGGGGCUUAAGGCACACUGAGGAGGAGCAGGGCAGAGAGUGCAUUCUGCCUUCAGACCCAGAGCCCGCUCAGGCCGCACUGCCCUGAGCUGCAUCUGAGUUUUCCUGAGGCAUCACGUGGAGAGUAAUCCUGCCAGGCCACAGCUUGGAGGAACAAAUCCACCUGAAGCAGCUUUGGAGCCGGGGAGUCAGGGCUUGCCUGUUCUGAGGCAUAUUCAUGGGACAUGGGCUCAGGUUACCAGGACAGGAGCCAAGCAGAGGCACGGACCUCUGAACAGAUGUCCAGACUGGCUAACACGAGUUAGAGAGCACACCCUUCCCACUAAUGGAGGUUUUGGAGACCUCCCUGACUCUGCUGCAGUGUGUGAGUGAAUAUCUUAGCCUCAGUAGAGUGCUCUUACAGAGCUCUCCAAAUUCAAGAAUACAGAGAGCACCACCUCUGCCUUUUGACUCUGGAAACUCCUGGAGAAGUGGGGCUGCCCCAGCUGUGGGCUUCAGAUGCUGCCGACGUCCCAGACCAGACACAGAGCCCAGGCAAGCAGCACAGAGGACACUGUGUGCGCUGCCACCUGGCGAGUCAGACUGCGGCCAGCUUCAUCCCGGGGUAUGAACUACACGGAGCGUCCGAGGGGAAGAAAUGCUGUGCCCCGGGGGCCAGGCCUGAGCUCACUGAGGUCUCAUCCUACUUGGCAGCUGCCUGCCUCUCUUUGUGCGUCUGGAAGGCAUUCAGUAUCUCCUCAACGACGCUGGGAUCCUCCAGGGUGGUGAUGUCCCCCAGGUCCUGGACUCCACCUGUGACGAUCUUCCUCAGCAGCCGCCGCAUGACUUUCCCAGAGCGGGUUUUGGGGAGACGCUUCACCACCUGGCAACACGUGUGGCAUUAGCAUGGUGGCCUGGGUGAGGGCUGCUCUCAGGCUGACUCUGAGCAAAGGUCUCUGGUUCACCCACCCAUGGCCUGAGCCAGGGCUGAGACACCCAGAACACAGGAGCCACCGAGGAGCAGAUCAGCUGCAGCCCUGCCUGGCUGUGCUACACUGGCACCUUGCUGACAUCACCAUCUGCCCGCUGGCUCCAGGGCAGCAACUCAGGCUCAUCCUGCAACCUCUCCCCAGCUGCAGCUGAGUUUCGUCUUUGGUGAAAGCUGAAGCAACUUCACAGAAGAAAAUGUGAACACAACAUGUAGCACUUUCAAGCAGCCACAGCCUAUGGGGCCCCACUCCAUGUCGGAAGAUCAGAAGCUGUUGGGGUGGGGCCCAGCACCUCAAAGACAGCCAACAGGUGGCUCUGUCUCUGGGACUCAGCGCUGGCCACCUGGCAACUCCACACACCAGGCCAGCAGUGAGAAUGGUGAGCAGCCCUGGACCCCGGGCCUGAGCAGUGCCAAGGGAGGGAGAAAGGAAGCACUGGGGCUAACGUGGCUCAGCUCUGUCCAGGGUGACAAGCCCUCCCCUGCCAGAACCAGGAAGUAUGCUCAGAGGCCACACAGCAGCUGCUUCCCAUGCCUCUCUUUAAAAGCUGCUUUAGGGGCUGGGGAUUUAGCUCAGCGGCAAGCGUGCCUGCCUUGCAAGCAUGCAGUCAUGAGUUCGAUCCCCGGUACCAACAAAAACAACAAAAAAGGUGCUUUAAUCUGAUGGAGGAGGGGGCUAACUCAGUGGUGAGCGCGUGUCUGGCACAUGCAAGGCCCUGGGCUCUGCUUGGCUACUGUGGCCUUGGGAGACCCCGAAGCCCACGUGUUGGGGAAUGAUACUGAGCCUAUGCAUCCUAGGGUAUAGCAGCCUCUUGGAGUUGGAUCCUCCCCCACCCUCACCUCUUGUCCCCAGAUGACCAAGCCCAGCAACUGCCCUGGGAGCCUCUGGCACUAGGAGCUACAGCGAGCUUUUCAGCCCUCUCAGUGGCCUCAGUUAUUUUGUCAGCACAGAGGGAAGCUAAUACAGAAAUGCAAAGGGAAAAUGAAAUCCCAAAGUCUCUUUGGCACCCAGUCUUGAGCCUGCACCUGGCAGCCACAGGCCAAAGCCUUGCCCACCCCCAGGGAGCCAAGCAGGUCACCCCUGUGUUUGUUUAUUGUUCCAUGGCACUGAGGUUGAACUGGGGCCUCGUGCUGAGCCAUGAUGACCCUGACAUUCCCUACGGCACCUUUUAAAAUCUUGAGCCAGAGCCUAAGUUGUCCAUGCUAGGCUCAAACUCUUGAUCUUCCUGCUUCAGCCUCCCAAGUAGCUGGGGUCAUAGGUGUGUACCACACCCCAGCUUUGUGCCUGUGUGAUACUGAUGGGGAGAGGGUGACGAGCUCUUUUGAGACUAUCACCACUGACACCACCGGGCUGCAGAAGCAGCUUAAGGAGAGCAGCUCACCCAGUCGUCCCGUCCACUCACCAGGAUUUGGUCAGGCACAGCAUAUUUGGCGAUCUUGGUGGCCACCACCGACUUGAGCUCAUUCACUACCAUGUCUGCGUCAUGGGCCUCGUCCUUCAACACAAUGAAGGCGAAUGCGGCUUGGGAAGAAAAGAAAGCAAGGGUUGGGGAGUGCCACAACAGCACCUGCCCAGCCAGGGUCCCAGUGCCACCUGCCAUCAUCGCAAAGGGUUUUGUCGUAAGCCAGGGUUUUGCUGUGUGGCUCACACAAUCCUCCUGCCUCAGCCUCCUACAGAGCUAGAAAGACAGGUGUGUGUUACCACACCUGGCUCCAAGGGAUCUCCAAGUCCUGUGUUGGUGACACUGGAAGCUGCUGUCUUGCUGUAGCAGUGCAUUUCUGCCAUACGCAGAGUGGCAGUGGGUCCAACAACUCGGUGGGCAUGCCAGCCAGGCAGCCACCUAUGGCUAGGAAGGAGCUUGGCACUACAGAGAUGCCAAUGGCCACUGUGACUCAGAUAAUCCCUCAGCUGUAGCAGAGCCCCCGACAGGGCUGAUGGGACACGUACAGCUUCACUGAGAAGCCCCUCCAGUUCAGAUCAACCCGAGGAUGCACCCCUUGCUGCUCCUCCCACACAUCAUAGAUGCCAAAGUGCAGCUCCGGGCCACCCCAGUCAGCACAAACACAGUCUUCACCAGCCAACGCUGGCGGCUCCGAAGAGCUGCACCUGAGGUUGUGUCUGGGACCUGACCUUCUGCCCUCCAGCUGAGUCCAGUGACAGGCAGCUGGCCACCAGCUCGUGCCCCAAGGCACAUCCCUGUCAUCACUGUGCUUCUGGGGCCCCCAUGCCAAUUCUGCCUCUUCCUCCUCUCGCUCCUCCCCACCCUCUGGGCUGUGCAGUUUCCUGCAACCUGUUUGCUGUCCUGGCCCGUCCCUUCUACUGCCUCCUCCCAACACAGUGGCCAUGAGGGCAGAGACUCUAUGUCACUCAGCUGUGUCCCCAGCAGAGACCAGGCCGGAGCACAGCACGAACCCCAUGGAUGUCUGCUGACAACCCGAAGGGGAAAUGUGCCUGCAGAGCUGGCUCUGUGUGGCCUCAGCUUCUGCCUGAAAGGCUCCCAUCUCCACUCAGCAAACUCCUACUUAUCGCCCAAGACCCAGUCCAGCCCGACCCAGUCCAGCCCAGCGACAGCUCUGCAAGCUUUCCUGGCCCUGCCCAAGUCUGACUAUGGGUGUGGCCCUGUGGGAAUGGUUGUCACCCCACCCACAGGCUAUGAGAUCUGUGAUGGAAAGAAUUUUGCUCUAUUCUCCUGGUGCUGGGGGAGAUGGUGGCCUGGAUCCUGCUCCAAAGCCAAAGAUGAAGGGAGGAGCCACAUGGCUGUGGUCAGGCAACAGGCUGAGCCAGAGGGUCAGAGACCCAGACAGUCUCAGGGACUGGACUCUGAGGGCAACCCAACCCAGGGCUCCCCUCCCACGGGACAGUGCCACUGGCAGUAGAGGUGGAAGACACUUGGCACAGACGGGCUACUGGGCCAUCCACAAAUGGAAAGUAAACAGAUGUUCAAGUACUUGAGAAACCAGAAAGUGUGUGAAAUCCAUGCCUGCUGGCAGGUGACCCAGGCCUGCUUAGGUGUGAGCUGCCCCAGCUGCUGGCAGGCGCCAGUGGCCCUAGGUGUGUACCUAGGGACUCUGCCCUUGCCCUGGGCAGCCGCCACAGUUCCUCACAUGAGGGCUAAAGUCCGCCUGCCAGGCAGCAGCCCACUGUCCUAUGCUCACUCUUGGGUUUCACUGGGGGAACAGUGGGGAUGGUGCCAGUCGAGGUCCUUGUCUGACUCCACAGCCCACUUCAGGCCCCGCACCUGAGCAGCCAGGCUGGCUCUGCCCUGAUCCACAAAGGCCCAGCCCCGACACCUGGGCCCCUGCAGCCCAGGACACAGCGGGAAACGUAGACCCUGCCAGCAUCACUUUACCAGGUGGACAACUUUUCUACCUGUCCCUGGCCUGACCACACCUGGCUGAGGCCUCUGCCGGGGCAGCACCCACAGCCCCCCCACAAAAGCCACAGCAGCCUCCCUGCCUAGCUACUCUGAAGUGCUUGCACUGAUUUUAAGUUUUACAGUGGGUUGAUUUAAAGAAAAUAUCGGAAGGGCAGAGUGGAAAGAUCUGCUAGGUAUGCACAAAGCACAAGAAUGAAAUAAAGUAGAACAUAAACAGCA
This is a long non-coding RNA of Cavia porcellus (domestic guinea pig), 8696 nucleotides long. RefSeq lists it as uncharacterized. The transcript is spliced from 2 exons. Lineage: Eukaryota; Metazoa; Chordata; Mammalia; Rodentia; Caviidae. The record is from RefSeq and is a predicted model, not a curated record.